AGAGUUUGAUCCUGGCUCAGGAUGAACGCUAGCGGCAGGCUUAACACAUGCAAGUCGAGGGGCGAGCAUAAUGGAUAGCAAUAUCUAUGGUGGCGACCGGCGCACGGGCGCGUAACGCGUAUGCAACCUACCUUUAACAGGGGGAGUAACACUGAGAAAUUGGUACUAAUACCCCAUAAUAUCAUAGAAGGCAUCUUUUAUGGUUGAAAAUUCCGAUGGUUAGAGAUGGGCAUGCGUUGUAUUAGCUAGUUGGUGGGGUAACGGCUCACCAAGGCGACGAUACAUAGGGGGACUGAGAGGUUAACCCCCCACACUGGUACUGAGACACGGACCAGACUCCUACGGGAGGCAGCA
RNAcentral lists this ribosomal RNA (354 nucleotides) under uncultured bacterium. Its description in RNAcentral is "bacterial SSU rRNA". It matches the Rfam family "Bacterial small subunit ribosomal RNA", at positions 8 to 353 of the family's 1533-position model. The record is from RNAcentral.